CUCCCACAAGGAUGGGACAUCUGGAGAAUGUGCUUCACAUUUGCAGCCAAUCUGUGAUUGUUUAUGCCAUAGCGCAACAAGUCACGCAGACUUUAUCUGGUGCAAGAUGGAAGGGCAAUUGGAUUGCAGCUUAGAAAGUAGGCAGGACUCCACUUCGUCAUGCCAGUGAUGAGGAGUUAAAGAUAGGUGGACUGUGUUGUAUGAAACAGAAGCUCUGUCAAGGCUGUUAUUCUGCGGUGUGGUGUGUGGCAGGAACACCAUGUGAACUAACAUCAAGCAGCCCGAGAUGAGACAAUAUUUGCUGAUUUGGGCAGCAUAAAACAGAGACACUGUGUAAUGGAGCAUAUUUAAGGCUGGGCACUGAGAAAAGGUUCCAGUUUAUGAGCUUAGAUUGAAGCUUGAAAUUGCUCAUCAAGAAGAAAGUCCAGACAAGGAUUUUAAAUGGUUUCUUCUGAAUAAAGCAAUUAAUGUUAAAGGGAACAAGCCAUCUCCUCAACAUUUCUUAGGUGGAAUAUUUCACUACCCAGUAUGUUUCAACAUCAAACAAAAAGAACAGAAGCAUUUUUUUUUUCCAGAAACCACUGAGAAAAUUAUCUGGGUUACUUCAUCUCACUGCAUAGAUGAUUCCACUACCAAAUAUUGGAUGGACAGUAAAUGCUGACUGAGCACUGACUGGGUGCCUUGAUUUACUCAGAGUUUCUUCUAAUGUGGUUUGCAAGUGACAUGAGUCAUACAUUUUAUUGUACUUGGACUUAGACUUUAAGCACUUGAUAUUCAAUCCCCCCAACCCAGCCCCACAGGAUUUAUGGACAAACCCAUAAUUAAUUUUAAUAUCUGCCUUCUCCUCUAGACUGUAAGUUCCAUGUGGGCAGCGAGCAUGUCUAUCAAUUCUGUUGCAUUUUAAUCUCCCAACUGCUUAGUACAGUGACCGGCACAAAGUAAGUCCUCCAAGAGGCCUUCCUAGACUAAGCCUCCCUUUUCCUCAUCUCCCACUUACUUCUGGUUGCCCUGACUUGCUCCCUUUGCUCUUCCCCUGCCUCUCAGCCCCAGUGCACUUACGUAUAUGUCUAAUUUUAUUUAUUUUUUACUGAUGUUUGUUUAUUUGUAUUGAUGGCUGUCUCCCCCCCCAUAGACUGUGACCUUAUUGUGGGAAGGAAUUUUCACUGUUUAUUGUUGUAUUAUACUUUCCCAAGUGCUUAGUAAAGGGCUCUGCACAGAGAAAGCACUUAAUAAAUACAGUUGAUUGAUUGCUCAAAACAUACCAUGAUUAUGUUACCAGGGAACAUGUAAAACACAUAAGUACUUGGACUGCUCUUAGUAACUCAUCCAAAUCCAUAGGCUGCUCCAGUAUGAUGUGAUUGUUCUAGGCAAAAUGAAAGGUGCUCAGGUUGUCCCUUUCACCAUCACCACCAAAGUGAAUCAGGG
Molecule: long non-coding RNA, 1425 nt
Filed under: Ornithorhynchus anatinus (platypus)
Lineage: Eukaryota; Metazoa; Chordata; Mammalia; Monotremata; Ornithorhynchidae
Description: lncRNA (ENSOANG00000041116.1)
Source: RNAcentral